This 690-nucleotide ribosomal RNA is filed under the name Lysinibacillus macroides. RNAcentral describes it as "bacterial SSU rRNA". It matches the Rfam family "Bacterial small subunit ribosomal RNA", at positions 65 to 738 of the family's 1533-position model. Lineage: Bacteria; Bacillati; Bacillota; Bacilli; Caryophanales; Bacillaceae. The record is from RNAcentral.
AGCGACAGAAAGGAGCUUGCUCCUUUGACGUUAGCGGCGGACGGGUGAGUAACACGUGGGCAACCUACCCUAUAGUUUGGGAUAACUCCGGGAAACCGGGGCUAAUACCGAAUAAUCUCUUUUGCUUCAUGGUNAAAGACUGAAAGACGGUUUCGGCUGUCGCUAUAGGAUGGGCCCGCGGCGCAUUAGCUAGUUGGUGAGGUAACGGCUCACCAAGGCGACGAUGCGUAGCCGACCUGAGAGGGUGAUCGGCCACACUGGGACUGAGACACGGCCCAGACUCCUACGGGAGGCAGCAGUAGGGAAUCUUCCACAAUGGGCGAAAGCCUGAUGGAGCAACGCCGCGUGAGUGAAGAAGGUUUUCGGAUCGUAAAACUCUGUUGUAAGGGAAGAACAAGUACAGUAGUAACUGGCUGUACCUUGACGGUACCUUAUUAGAAAGCCACGGCUAACUACGUGCCAGCAGCCGCGGUAAUACGUAGGUGGCAAGCGUUGUCCGGAAUUAUUGGGCGUAAAGCGCGCGCAGGCGGUCCUUUAAGUCUGAUGUGAAAGCCCACGGCUCAACCGUGGAGGGUCAUUGGAAACUGGGGGACUUGAGUGCAGAAGAGGAAAGUGGAAUUCCAAGUGUAGCGGUGAAAUGCGUAGAGAUUUGGAGGAACACCAGUGGCGAAGGCGACUUUCUGGUCUGUA